GCGGGGUUAGUACAGUGGCAGUACGCGUGCUUGCCAAGCACGAUACGCGAGUUCGAUUCUCGUACCCCGCU
This 71-nucleotide transfer RNA is filed under the name bacterium. Its description in RNAcentral is "tRNA-Gly". It matches the Rfam family "tRNA". Rfam says of the family: Transfer RNA (tRNA) molecules are approximately 80 nucleotides in length. The record is from RNAcentral.